RNAcentral lists this ribosomal RNA (519 nucleotides) under Klebsiella pneumoniae. RNAcentral describes it as "partial 23S ribosomal RNA". It matches the Rfam family "Bacterial large subunit ribosomal RNA", at positions 2329 to 2846 of the family's 2925-position model. Lineage: Bacteria; Pseudomonadati; Pseudomonadota; Gammaproteobacteria; Enterobacterales; Enterobacteriaceae. The record is from RNAcentral.
GGUUGGCAAUCAGGUGGCGAGUGCAAGUGUACAAGGGAGCUUGACUGCGAGACAGACAUGUCGAGCAGGGACGAAAGUCGGAACUAGUGACCCGACGGUGGCUUGUGGAAGCGCCGUCGCUCCACGGAUAAAAGGUACCCCGGGGAUAACAGGCUGAUCUUCCCCAAGAGUCCAUAUCGACGGGAUGGUUUGGCACCUCGAUGUCGGCUCGUCGCAUCCUGGGGGUGGAGUAUCUCCCAAGGGUUGGGCUGUUCGCCCAUUAAAGCGGCACGCGAGCUGGGUUUAGAACGUCGUGAGACAGUUCGGUCCCUAUCCGCUGUGCGCGUAGGAAACUUGAGAGAGGCUGACCCUAGUACGAGAGGACCGGGUUGGACGAACCUCUGGUGUGUGAGUUGUUCUGCCAAGGGCACCGCUCAUUAGCUACGUUCGGAAGUGAUAACCGCUGAAAGCAUCUAAGCGGGAAGCAUGUCUCAAGAUGAGGUUUCCAUGAACUUCGGUUCGAGAGGCUCCCAGUAGACU